UUCAAUCGCGAACGAUGAUUAAUCGGGCCAUUAAUGCCAAUCGAUGCUCCGGGAAGGUCAGUUUCAUCGCUAUUCAUGCCAAUUGAUUGAUUGCGAGGUUAAUCCUGUAAUUGAGAGGUUAAUCGUAUCUCUGUAUAUUCACCCCAGCCUAUAAAAUCCCAAACUUGCAGCUCGUCCUUUCCUACUCUGCUCAUUUUCGCAAACCACAGUCCAAAAGCAAAGUGAUGGGUGUUGCUUAGGUUCCAGCUCUGUUUGGUUUAAGGUGUUGUGCUUGUUCCAAUUCUCAGUUAUUGUCUGGAUAUAUAUGUACUGACAUGUCCUCCGUCUAAUUCAUAGUUUCAAAUGUACAGCUUCUCUCCAGGUUAGAAUUCUAGCUACGUACUGCUUGGUAUCUUUGGUUCUUCCAGCUGAUCCAAUGGCUAAUGGACAGGUCAGUGCCAGUUUCCUUUUAUGCCUCCUUUAAUUAUGCCUCAUCUCACAAUCUGUUCAUUGUAGUACAUACCUUCUAUUGGUAUGAUGUGAUUUCACUCCAUGAUUGUUUGAAAUAAUCAAAAGUACCGCCUACUUUUCCUGCAAUAUGUAGCAGGUUAAUUAGAAAGUGAAAAAUGCGGAAAAGAAAGACAAAUGUCGCACAAGGCGCCGAGGGUCAAAUGAAAAUGUUGUGCUUCGCAGAUCAAAAGAAACAAAACAUACAAAUGUCAUACAAGGCGCUCAUGCGUCGACAUCACAAUCACCAUCUUCUGAAAAUAUUGUUCUUCCCAAAUCAGCCCUCUCAGGCCAUUAGGGGUUUUAACCGUCAAAUCUGUUGUUUCAGCCUUUGCUGUCCAUUGGAUGUCGUUUUGGACCCGAUGAGCUCUGUACGUUGACCACAUAGCGAUUAACUGGAGUGGGCCGCUACUCCGGGAACUAUUUUGGACGUAUUCUGUGAAUUUGGGCCAAAUGGGCUAGGUGUCGCUCCAAAGGCGUCGAUCGCUGCUGCCUGGGUCGAUGCGGUCCCUUGGGAAGCGCAAGCGCAGGCGUGGUUUGACGAGCAGUCUGCUCGGUCGGCAUCUCAGACCGGUCCAUGGACCAUGGGGAUGCGAGGUUGUAGGCGAAGCGGCGGUGAUAAAUCACAAUUGAAUCGGCAUCUCAGACUGUUCGGUGAUGAAUCCGGCAAUCAAUCUUCAGUUUCAGGAAGCAUUCAUCACAAUUGAUGUGCGCCACUCACCGGCUGCAAUUAAAUGGGGGUGUGCGUUCCUUUUUCCUGCAACCUUUUCCUAGGGAUCCCAAUUCCCUCCAGGUUAUCAUCAGCUCCAUCCCCAUGAUUUCUUCAUGUGACCUUCAUGUUGGAUCUCGCUGGAUCUCUGCUACUUACCGCAAAAUACUAGGGCCGAGGGUGCAGCUGGUGUUCCUAUGCACGCUACUUUCCAAUAUGGCUGCUGCGCUGCUCCACCAGUCACUUGAGAGGAUCUGAGAUGGUCAUGGGCGGUGGAUCCAGAGGAUUUUUUUACUGGAGCACCUUGUCCUCAUAUUGCUGUAUUGAAACCUCUCGAAAAUCCUCCAACGAGGCAACGACUGGUUGUUGGUGAGCUCCGAUACACAUCUUCAGUUCUGAUUCUUCAAUCUGCAUUUGGUUUGAUCUGAAACAUCUGCUAUACUUGCUUGUUUCAUGUCUUUUUUUGGGUUCUGUCUAGCUGCGAUAGCUUACGGAUCACAUGCCAAGUCAAUUCUUAACUGUACAAUUUUCUUCUGAUAACAGUUUAUUUGCUGGAAAAGAGGUUGCUUCUGUGCUUGUAGGACAUCAUGUGAGAUGACAAGAAAUCUCAAAUGAAGAUAGUAAUUCAGCAAGGCCAGCGAGUCUAUUCUGUGGAAUGUUUAGUAGCCUUGUAAUUUAUAUGUACUGAAGGCCGGUGUCACCGUAGAAAGGGUGACCAAACUAUGAUCACGUUGCUGUCAGAUGGUGUUUCCAAACAAGUUCAACGAUGUAAGUUUAAGAGAAUGCAUGUGAUUGUUCUGUAGAUCUCAAAACAAAUAUUUCGAUUUUAGUUUCUUAUUCUCCAUUGUAACUUGAAUCUAUGUGGUUUCAUAAAUAAAAUCGGGGUGGAAUCCCUUCUUAAAAA
RNAcentral lists this long non-coding RNA (2099 nucleotides) under Triticum aestivum (bread wheat). Its description in RNAcentral is "long non-coding RNA (TAES_LNC028237)". The record is from RNAcentral. Lineage: Eukaryota; Viridiplantae; Streptophyta; Magnoliopsida; Poales; Poaceae.